CUUGGUCAUUUAGAGGAAGUAAAAGUCGUAACAAGGUUUCCGUAGGUGAACCUGCGGAAGGAUCAUUAGUGAAUUAAACAUGCUUGGUGUCUUCGCUUCGGCAAGACCCUUGCUUAAAUCACAUCCUAACACCUGUGAACUGUAAGGCGUAUGAUAAAGCUUCGGCUGCAUCGUCGUCUGCCCUUUUAACAAACAAUUAAUGUAACAAACGUAGUCUUAUUAUAACCUAAUAAAACUUUCAACAACGGAUCUCUUGGCUCUCGCAUCGAUGAAGAACGCAGCGAAAUGCGAUAAGUAAUGUGAAUUGCAGAUUUCAGUGAACCAUCGAAUCUUUGAACGCACCUUGCGCUCUUUGGUAUUCCGAAGAGCAUGCCUGUUUGAGUGUCAUGAAAAUAUCAACCUUGACUUGGGUUUUGUGCUCGAGUCUUGGCUUGGAUGUGGGUGCUUGCCGCUUUAACGAGCGGCUCACCUUAAAUGUAUUAGCUGGAUCUGUCUUUGAGACUUGGUUUGACUUGGCGUAAUAAGUAUUUCGCUAAGGACAUUCUUCGGAAUGGCCUCGUUUCUGGGACGCUUGUCCGCUUUCCAAUACAAGUUCCAUUCGUGGACAUGACUUUUUAUUAUCUGGCCUCAAAUCAGGUAGGACUACCCGCUGAACUUAAGCAUAUCAAUAAGCGGAGGAA
This 680-nucleotide ribosomal RNA is filed under the name uncultured fungus. Its description in RNAcentral is "eukaryotic LSU rRNA". The stretch from base 234 to 387 matches the Rfam family "5.8S ribosomal RNA". Lineage: Eukaryota; Fungi. The record is from RNAcentral.